CCUCAAAAAUACGAUUCAAGCUUAGGGUUUAGGUCAUCCUCUUCGAAGAGACACUCAUCCCUUACUCAAAACGAUUCAGGCUCAUCCUCUUCUAAGAGACACUCUCUAUCUAUCACUCAGGCUUUAAUCUCAGUCUAUCAAUCUCCAGACUUCUUUCUAUCACACACUCCUUCCGUUCCAAUUUCUGUCCAGUUUGAUCAAUGGCAGAAGCAACUGGGUCUGCCAACAAGCCAAGAAAUGAAAGAGAUUCAUAGCUGAGSUGAAUUUUUCUACUAUUUGUUGUGUGAUUGAAGAAAUAAAUUUGUUGAGGAAAGCCAUGUGGCCUUGAACAUGCUUUGUAGGUUUCAAGAAAAUAUGGAUACAUAUCAUAACUUAAUUACACAGUUCAUGCAUGAUAAACAAUUGGAUAGUGGAAAAGGAAUUCUUCUUCAUUUGUGUGAUGAUGUGAUUCAACAAGAAAUGUUCCAUUUGAAAAACAUCAACCAACGCAAACAGUGAGCCAUCUUAGAUUUUCAAAAUCCAUUUCCCAUUUUUAUGUGACUGCAAAAGUCACGGGCCUCGAUACUGUGUUGUAAGUCGAUUCUGCUGUGAAUGUGAAAUGUUGGUGGUUGUUGUUGCUGGACAUUAUAUUGAUGGUGUCUUUGAACAUGGGGGGUCAUCGGAGCAUAAAAAAGGUGUGUUUUAGAUGUUUCUUCUUUUGUAUGGUCAUGAUUGCAAUUUGAACUAAUCUUCAAUAAAUCUUCUUGUGUUUGAUUUUUUGAUGAUACCCUUUAUCCUCUGWGCUCUGGAUUGUCAACAGAAUGCACCAAGAAUAUCACAGUUCCCCUUAUGGUUUGAUGUCAAAACUGCUUCAAAGAAAUCCAGGAUGAUGCACUUCAUGAUCAACAUCAUCCCUCCAAAUCCAGGAAGAGCAUAAGUAGGCACUUGUUGGGUAAGAGUCGUUACUCUCACUUACCGGGGAGCAUCAGACUCAUGGAAUAUGYCGAUGUCUUUUAUUAGUGUAAUCCUACUUCCUAUUGUUGGUAAUGCUGCUGAGCAUGCCAGUGCCAUAAUGUUUGCCAUGAAAGACAAGCUUGACAUCACUUGGAGUAGCAAUUGGAUCAUCAACUCAGAUAUCAAUGUUUGUGAUCCCAUUCUGUGUGGUUGUGGGUUGGAUCAUGGGCCAGCAAAUGGACUUAAAUUUUCAGCUUUUUGAGACUGCUACUCUCUUUAUCACAGUGUUAGUCGUAGCAUUUAUGCUGCAGGAAGGAACAUCAAAUUACUUCAAAGGGGUGAUGCUAAUUCUGUGCUAUCUCAUUGUUGCUGCAAGUUUCUUUGUACACGUGGAUAAUAAAUCAGAUGAUGACUAAAAGUGAAGAGGCAAGCAGAAAUGGAAGUGUAUUGUUUAAAUGUUGUAAUUUUGUGAGGCAAGUUCAUAUGUUGAUCCAAAGAGAGAGCAUCAACAUCAGUCAUCAGCAUUGUCAUGAUCAGAAGGUAGUUUUGGGUAGAAAAAUCAUUUGAUUUUGGUUGAAUGAUUGAUUGAUGUUGGCAUGACAUGGCAAUCAAAUAAAGCAUGUGCCUGCCUUGCCUUAAAGGAAGUUCAUUCUUGUUCAAGUGCAUUCGUUCAGGAAGUUCAGGAGGCGGCUUCCGRUUUGAAGAUUUGGUAUCCCUCUUUCUGGGUUUGAAGAACAUCAGAAGAACCGCACCACCGUCCAGAGAUGAUCGAAACGGAUUCGGUUUCUUGGUUCGUUGUAAUCAAUCGAUGACCGUGAACGAAUCGUCUUUGCUUGAUCCUGAUUUCUCUCURCUGCUGGAUUUUUUGGCGAUUCUACUAAUCCUAACUCCUGGUCCGGAGAUUUUUUUAUUCAUCUCUCAUUCAAUUGCUCUAGAACUUUCGGUCUCACUCCCRAUCUCUUGAUUCUU
RNA transcript from Cynara cardunculus var. scolymus (artichoke), 1902 nucleotides. It is a transcript of the gene named vacuolar cation/proton exchanger 2-like, with no coding region annotated. The record is from RefSeq and is a predicted model, not a curated record. NCBI's taxonomy places the organism in Eukaryota, Viridiplantae, Streptophyta, Magnoliopsida, Asterales, Asteraceae. The transcript is spliced from 14 exons.